AGUGAACGCUGGCGGUAGGCCUAACGCAUGCAAGUCGAACGGCAGCACAGAGGAGCUUGCUCCUUGGGUGGCGAGUGGCGGACGGGUGAGGAAUACAUCGGAAUCUACUCUGUCGUGGGGGAUAACGUAGGGAAACUUACGCUAAUACCGCAUACGACCUACGGGUGAAAGCAGGGGACCUUCGGGCCUUGCGCGAUUGAAUGAGCCGAUGUCGGAUUAGCUAGUUGGCGGGGUAAAGGCCCACCAAGGCGACGACCCGUAGCUGGUCUGAGAGGAUGAUCAGCCACACUGGAACUGAGACACUGUCCAUACUCCUACGGGAGUCAGCAGUGGGGAAUAUUGGACAAUGGGCGCAAGCCUGAUCCAGCCAUACCGCGUGGGUGAAGAAGGCCUUCGGGUUGUAAAGCCCUUUUGUUGGGAAAGAAAUCCAGCUGGCUAAUACCCGGUUGGGAUGACGGUACCCAAAGAAUAAGCACCGGCUAACUUCGUGCCAGCCGCCGCGGUAA
Molecule: ribosomal RNA, 506 nt
Filed under: uncultured bacterium
Lineage: Bacteria
Description: partial 16S ribosomal RNA
Rfam family: Bacterial small subunit ribosomal RNA
Source: RNAcentral